AAACCAACAGGGAUUGCCCUAGUAACGGCGAGUGAAGCGGCAACAGCUCAAAUUUGAAAUCUGGCUUCGGCCCGAGUUGUAAUUUGCAGAGGAAGCUUUAGGCGCGGCACCUUCUGAGUCCCCUGGAACGGGGCGCCAUAGAGGGUGAGAGCCCCGUAUAGUUGGAUGCCUAGCCUGUGUAAAGCUCCUUCGACGAGUCGAGUAGUUUGGGAAUGCUGCUCAAAAUGGGAGGUAAAUUUCUUCUAAAGCUAAAUACCGGCCAGAGACCGAUAGCGCACAAGUAGAGUGAUCGAAAGAUGAAAAGCACUUUGAAAAGAGGGUUAAAUAGCACGUGAAAUUGUUGAAAGGGAAGCGCUUGUGACCAGACUUGCGCCGGGCGGAUCAUCCGGUGUUCUCACCGGUGCACUCCGCCCGGCUCAGGCCAGCAUCGGUUCUCGCGGGGGGAUAAAGGUCCUGGGAACGUAGCUCCUCCGGGAGUGUUAUAGCCCGGGGCGUAAUGCCCUCGCGGGGACCGAGGUUCGCGCAUCUGCAAGGAUGCUGGCGUAAUGGUCAUCAGCGAC
RNAcentral lists this ribosomal RNA (560 nucleotides) under Chaetomium globosum. Its description in RNAcentral is "eukaryotic LSU rRNA". It matches the Rfam family "Eukaryotic large subunit ribosomal RNA", at positions 62 to 648 of the family's 3401-position model. RNAcentral also lists the same sequence under 3 other names. Lineage: Eukaryota; Fungi; Ascomycota; Sordariomycetes; Sordariales; Chaetomiaceae. The record is from RNAcentral.